Long non-coding RNA from Eufriesea mexicana, 1494 nucleotides. RefSeq lists it as uncharacterized. The record is from RefSeq and is a predicted model, not a curated record. The transcript is spliced from 3 exons. Lineage: Eukaryota; Metazoa; Arthropoda; Insecta; Hymenoptera; Apidae.
AAGACGAUGCAAGUUUUUGGUAACUAAAAAUCCCUAGUGCUGCAAAAACGAAUCAGUUUGUGAAGGAACUAUCGAAAGCAAAUAGUGCCGCUCUCGUCAUCCACAACAGUGUCGUGCACGUAGGCCAUGUCCCCAGAGGUUCGACGCUCGCUCUCCGCCCCGCCAAAGAAAACCGCAAGGUGCCUCGCCCCGUUCCACGCGUCUAAAGAUAUCAACUUAACAAGAACGACGGAAAAAAAGAAUAAUGCUCACGACUCUGGGCAACCAGGCACAGGCAGACGAACAGGACAAAGUGACAAACGCAGGGCGUGAAACGGUCGGCCGUAAAACGCCGUGGCCAGGCUUUCCUUCAAUUUGUAACCGAAUGAAGCCACGACAGCGCGCGAACGUGCGAACUAAUUGAAUCUGUAAUUGAGGCUAAUUAAAACUUAUUAUAUCGGCACUGAUUACCAUCUGGCUCGGAAAUGUCGAGUCAUAGGAUAAAAGAAACGUCAUUUAUUAGCAACUCUCUACGACAAUGUAAUGUCACGUACGACAGAAAUCUUCGAGAAGCUGUAACACUAGGAUUACAAAUCCCUAUCAAACGAAUCCUUCAGGAAUCACAAAAUUAAAACUCCACGAUGAAAAAUUAGAAACAAUUCUAUUUCGAUACGUCGUCAAAAUUUAAGCACAGAAUAAAGCACAUCUAGAGCAACAAAAGAACAGAUUGCAGCAUAUAAGCUUUCAUAUAUUAUCUUCCAAUUAUCUCCAUGAGAAAUUCGCUAGAAUCGGUACAGCAAUUCGAUUCUGUUCUUCCUCGAUAAUUCUCCCCGAUUGGGAGGAUAAAAGGCAACGAACGCCCCAGUGUUCAGGUAGCUGAGUGUUUCAAACGACACGACGACGUAAAUCGGUUCUGCAAGAAGAACGGGGCAGCCGAUUGGAAAAUCAGAUCGGUCAAAGGAGCCGCGUGCUUUCCACGAGGGUCAGUCCCGACAGCAGAUUAUCUGUCUUCGACGAUGCAACGAGAUUUACGUUAACCAGGAGGGUAGAUCGUGACGGAGAUAGUCGGCGAAAUUCUCGAUCGUCGAACCGGUGUGUUCCCCUUUUUCGCGUAAUUUAUGCAAAGCUUAUUCGCACCGAUGUCUCGUAACCGAGCACUAUUAAUAUCCCUGGCACGCGAGGACAGAAGCAAAACCGGGAAGGAAAAAAGAAAGUAAAGGGAGAAUAAGAAGAUGAGAAAGAAGAAGAUGAGGAAGAAAAAAGGAACAGAAAAAAGAAAGAGAAAAGAAGGGAGCAAAGAGCACGCUCGACAGAUUUGCUCGGUGUGUUUCUCUUUAACAGUACACGUUACUGUACCGUGACCCGCCGUUUUCCAUCUGGCGUUACUGCGUUACCCCGCGGCAGGCUGCACGCGUUUACGAUUUCUUACGCCGAGAAACGGUCACACUUUUUCCCCAGGAAGUGUAACGAUACUGUGUGAAAAAAGGGGGAACGAAACGGAGAAACUAGGAAAAA